AUACGUAGGGGGCGAGCGUUGUCCGGAAUGAUUGGGCGUAAAGGGCGCGUAGGCGGCCCGGUAAGUCUGGAGUGAAAGUCCUGUUUUUAAGAUGGGAAUUGCUUUGGAUACUGUCGGGCUUGAGUGCAGGAGAGGUAAGUGGAAUUCCCAGUGUAGCGGUGAAAUGCGUAGAGAUUGGGAGGAACACCAGUGGCGAAGGCGACUUACUGGACAGUAACUGACGCUGAGGCGCGAAAGUGUGGGGAGCAAACAGGAUUAGAUACCCUGGUAGUCCACACUGUAAACGAUGAAUGCUAGGUGUAGGGGGUAUCGACCCCUUCUGUGCCGCAGUCAACACAAUAAGCAUUCCGCCUGGGGAGUACGGCCGCAAGGUUGAAACUCAAAUGAAUUGACGGGG
This 397-nucleotide ribosomal RNA is filed under the name uncultured bacterium. RNAcentral's name for it is "partial 16S ribosomal RNA". It matches the Rfam family "Bacterial small subunit ribosomal RNA", at positions 523 to 918 of the family's 1533-position model. The record is from RNAcentral.